GCUUAGUUAGGAUGAGAAUGAUGUUACAGGUCAGGACAAAUGAUCUCAAAAAGAAGAAAAUUCAUUUACAAACUUGGGGUCCAUAUGUGGAGUCUGAAUCUGAUGUAUUACAUUGUUUAUUAGCGUGUCCUCCCUACCUGACAAGAACAAUGGAACAAAAAUAAAACAAAACAACAGUUAUGGAUAAGAAUUCAUUCUCAAAUUUUGUCCAUCAUACUAUGUUGUAGUUAGUGAUCCUUUCUUUUUCAGAUUGCUUUGCCAUGCUUUCUAUAGUAUUUUGCGUAAUUUCUUCACUUCCGUUAUUUCUUUUUUCGAUAUGUUUUUUCUUGAGCUGAGACCUAUCUACCUGCUAAGGUAGGGUAAGGUUUGCAUACACUCAACCCUCCCAAACCUAACUUGUGAGAUUAUACUAGGUAUGUCAUCGUUUUUUACAUAUAUCAUAUUUGUCAUUACUUUGGCAACUUAACUUUGUGAACUAAAAGCCUAAAACUUUGGGCUAUGUAGGUGUUCUGUAAAUGUAAGGUUUGAUUAAUGUACAUUUAAUGUAGCACCAAAGCCAUUCACUUUGCUUGAAUAAUAGUCACUGGAAUCAACAAAAGAUGGUACCUUGGCCCAGCGAGCCGAUACAGCAAAAUCCUGACUUGGCAUCAACUGCACCAAAAAGCCCCUAAUCUCAAUUGGCAUACACUGUCAACCUUACUCUAGCUGUAACUUCUGGAUGCAGCUUCAAUUCGGC
RNAcentral lists this long non-coding RNA (736 nucleotides) under Solanum lycopersicum (tomato). Its description in RNAcentral is "long non-coding RNA (SLYC_LNC000964)". Lineage: Eukaryota; Viridiplantae; Streptophyta; Magnoliopsida; Solanales; Solanaceae. The record is from RNAcentral.